AUUGAACGCUGGCGGCACGCCUAACACAUGCAAGUCGAGCGGUAACGGGAUUUGUAGAAAUACAGAUUGCUGACGAGCGGCGGACGGGUGAGUAAUACGUAGGAAUCUGCCUUGAGGAGGGGGAUAACACGAGGAAACUCGUGCUAAUACCACAUAAAGUCUGAGGACCAAAGCUUGGGACUGUAAAAGGCCAGGCGCCUUAAGAUGAGCCUACGAUGGAUUAGCUAGUUGGUGGGGUAAAGGCCUACCAAGGCAACGAUCCAUAGCUGUUCUGAGAGGAAGAUCAGCCACACUGGAACUGAGAGACGGUCCAGACUCCUACGGGAGGCAGCAGUGGGGAAUAUUGGACAAUGGGGGCAACCCUGAUCCAGCCAUGCCGCGUGAGUGAAGAAGGCCUCGGGUUGUAAAGCUCUUUUGUCCGGAAAGAAAGCAUCUGGUUAAUACCCGGGUGUUCUGACGGUACCGGAAGAAUAAGCACCGGCUAACUUCGUGCCAGCAGC
RNAcentral lists this ribosomal RNA (500 nucleotides) under uncultured bacterium. RNAcentral's name for it is "bacterial SSU rRNA". It matches the Rfam family "Bacterial small subunit ribosomal RNA", at positions 30 to 515 of the family's 1533-position model. The record is from RNAcentral.